Molecule: transfer RNA, 60 nt
Filed under: Hamamelistes spinosus
Lineage: Eukaryota; Metazoa; Arthropoda; Insecta; Hemiptera; Hormaphididae
Description: tRNA-His
Source: RNAcentral
AUCUAAAUAGUUUAAAUAAAAUAUUAAUUUGUGGAAUUAAAGAUUAUAUUAUAUUUAGAU